Molecule: long non-coding RNA, 1039 nt
Organism: Dipodomys spectabilis (banner-tailed kangaroo rat)
Lineage: Eukaryota; Metazoa; Chordata; Mammalia; Rodentia; Heteromyidae
Exons: 3
Source: RefSeq, a predicted model, not a curated record
UUUAUCUACUCCGAAUUCCUGUUCUCAUUUUAAGACCCAGGAAACGACACACAAUUCUCAGAAUACUGCCUCAUUCCUGCUGGUAUGCAUCCAUUCAGUGAUUCCCUCUCACAUUCUCUUUCUUUGUAAGGAUCCAUUAUCUUUCAAGAGUAUCCUGCUGAGCUAAGUAUUUCUGGCACCUAGGAAAAUAUGGGGCACACUAUUGGAACAAAAUGCAUGCUGAAUUACCAACUAUAAGAACAAAAGAUAAAAGAAAAGAACCUGAUAACUCUUCUCCAUGACAUGGCGUUUCUGAUAGCUCAGCUGAAUGUUGGAUGCUGAGAUAUUGACUAGAUUUUCACACUCUGACUGAGUUGGAGCACCAUUUUCCCUGAACUGUUAAGUCUUCAGUUCUUUUUUCUAAUGUAUAAUAUUUAGCUACUGGUUAGCCUCUCCAAAGACUCUUUCAUUUUAUGGGCAACUCAGCACUUAGACAUUUGCCUUGAAGGUCACCCAGACACAAACUCUGAAGUCCCUACUCAGUUUCCUUGCCUACUUUCUAGUGCCCUCUCCUUACCAAUCUCAACAACCUGGGCCACAGUCCAUUCUAAUGUUUACUGCAGCUGUAAUCUCUAGAUUUCAGGUCCCUCUCAUAGUGUUAGAAAUUUUUCUUAGGUACAUUGUUGAGACAAUCAUUGAGCACACUCUGUUUUCCUUCUCUGAAGAGAAUUGUAAGCCUCUCCAGUGCUUGAAAAAAAAGGUUUUUGGAUGGUUCUUCAUGUUCUAUUUUUGAUAUUAGAGUGCUUUUUGUGGUCACCAGAGUAAGUUCCCUUAUUGUCAUUUUAAAAUGUUAAACCUACUUUCUUUGUAAAUGCAUGUGUCUAAGCAAGCAGGUUGACACCUAGAAACAUUUUACCCUUUAAUAAAUAUUGCAUCAGUAGUGGAUUUACAUUUAUAUUAUGCAAGAAAUACUCAUAUAAUGAAGGGAGUUUAGGAGAAUGUAUCAUUCUCUUCCAACUUUCUUCAGCUAACUUUCCUUUGUGAGCUGACAUCUCACAAG